GUCUCACAAGUCAUAACUUUCAGGCAUAAUUGCUCUGGGUGGACAGAGUUUAAAGUUAAACUACGAGUUACAUUCUUCUUGCAUUUACAUUAUCAGAUGGAUGCUAGCUCUCAUAAUUAAUGUUGCUUUGUCUGUGCACAUGACUAGAAACUCAGACAAUAUAAACAUGAAGGUUCUAAAAGAAUUUGCAUAUCAUUAUGUCCUUCAACAUACAAAGUAAAUGGUAUUUUCUAUUUAGAAUGACUCUCAAAUUGUAAUGUCUUGUUUGUGGGAUGGAUGUUGUUAUCUAGUGGCUCCAUGGUUUGAGUUCUCUACAGACAAGGCAGAGAAUGAGGCACAUUCAUAGAAGCAACUGCUCCCUCAGUUUCUAUCCUGUGGCCAGAGCCAGAAAGACCAUUCUACUCUUGGUGAACACCUUGCUUUUCCACACAUCUUUCCUCUUGAAAAUUAGUUUA
Molecule: long non-coding RNA, 455 nt
Filed under: Mus musculus (house mouse)
Lineage: Eukaryota; Metazoa; Chordata; Mammalia; Rodentia; Muridae
Description: long non-coding RNA chr17:21244840-21245295
Source: RNAcentral